RNAcentral lists this microRNA precursor (52 nucleotides) under Solanum tuberosum (potato). Its description in RNAcentral is "miR7985 stem-loop (stu-MIR7985)". The record is from miRBase by way of RNAcentral. Lineage: Eukaryota; Viridiplantae; Streptophyta; Magnoliopsida; Solanales; Solanaceae.
UUUGCCUUCUGGGUCGAGCUCGUCGCACCGGGCUUGCCUAGAACGGGUUACC